AGGAAGCAUGCAUUUAUUAUACAUAACAAGACGUGAAAGCCGCAAGAGUUUCAGCCUAAACACUGAAGACCCCGCGAAGUGAAUCCAGCUGCUGCUCUACAAGCAGCAACAACAACUGGGAAGCCUUCUCAGCUACACUUCGGGGCACUGGUCCAACCCCACGCAAAAUCCCUCGUUUCCCUUAGCGUGCAGAACCACGGGCACGGUGAUGAUGGUGACAAGCGCAGCAGCACCCAGCAGUCCCAGAAGAACCUUCCACGGUGUCUGCAAGCCGAGCAGAUCAAGUCCAAUUAGAGGGAAGCGUGUGGCCCCAGUUUCCGUAGGAGGGUCGGGGCUGCUCCAGAGGCAGCAGGAUUUGCAGCUUUUGGGCCAUUUGGGGAGUUUGGCGAAGAGGUCCCCACAGCUCGCCCCGGGGACGUACGUGGCGCGGCACUCACCUUCAUCGUCGGCGUCUCCUCGGAAGUGAGCGUUCAGAGAAGGAGCGCAGGCAGAAGUCACCGCGGGCGGCGGAGACGCGCGUCCUGCACCGCUGCUCCGGGCGGUGGAGUCACUCGCCGCUGGAAGGAAGACUGUACACAGAGAAUAAAUAACUUGGCCAAGCCAUUCAGCUAGGAAGUUGUAGAUCCUAAAUUAAGAGUUCAAGGUCUUAAUGGCUACUCUAUGCGGCCUCUCAUAGUCUUUUCAAGGGUUUUGGAGAAGAAUAAAAGAUCAGGCAUUGCUUUUGAACUCAGUCAUCUUUUCCCCCUUGCCCACUAGUUGCUUGUGAUACAUCAGUAUCCUCACUCACCCCCAACUCCAGAGGCUGAAACUAACUCUCCUCCUCCCUCUUCCAACUGCUGAGGAAGAUGAGUCAAUGGUGUUACUGGACCCUGUGAACUGAUGCUGUGAAGAGAGGCCAUUUAACACGGACUACGGGGAAUGGUGCCACAGGGGGCUCAGUGCUGCCCUUCACUCUCAGCAUUUUGCUCACUCAGCAUUGGUAAGCCACAUCAGCCUCGGUGAAGGAAGUCUGGAGAGUUAAGCCUGUGCUUCAUCUCCAUGCCAGCACCAUGGCACUCAUUGUACAUUCAGCAAGCCCCAAGGAAGCUGGCAGGAGGCUGGCUGACAUCUACGGGACAGGUCAAUUUGUUCUCUGGAGGGCACUCCAUGAGACGCAAAUAUCUUCACACCCUGUGCCCAUUUCAAGAGACUCUCUCACAUGCCUCCCCCACCUUGACCUCUGUGUCACCAGUCUUUCAAUCUUGUUUUUUCCAAAUCCUUAAGGUAGCAGCUGGCCAACACAUUAGCCACCACUGAUGAGUCAGUGUAGAUCUUACAUUGGGCCAUCUCUUUUUUCUUGCAAAAUAGAAAAGCAGAUGUUCUGCUCAAAGUUCUGUUUGUCAGUAAGAUUUCCCUUUCUGCUGUGUUUCAGGACAUCCCUGGGAGGGACUCUGAUGCAGCAGCCAUCUACUUAUUGCUAGUGCCAGCUUACUUUGCAUAACAUUGACUCCUUUCCCUCAUCUGUUGCCUAGUUGUAGGAAACUCCUUGUGAAGCUAUAGGUGUGCACUGAGGGAGAGACAUUGAGUCAAUGGGAGCAGGCAUCAUAGAGUCUAAGUUUUCUGCUAGUCUGAGUUUCUUGUGCCUUGUGGACCUGGUGGGCUUAUCUCCUUUAUCAUAUAGAUACAAUUUUCGCUUAAUAAUAGCAUGCUCCUGCAAAUGCCCAAUUUUAUCAUGUGGUAGAUUAGGCAACACUCAGUUUAUUAGGGUAGCUAGGUUGUGCAGUUACUUGAUGUUAUGGAUUGAAUUGUGUCCCUCCAAAAGAUAUAUUAGAAUCCCAACCUUUAGGACUUCAGAGUGUGACAUUAUUUGAAUAUAGGGUCUUUACAGAGUUAAUCAAUUUUUUUGAAUCUUAUAUAGCUUUUAUUUCAG
RNAcentral lists this long non-coding RNA (1909 nucleotides) under Homo sapiens (human). RNAcentral describes it as "HSALNT0042262". Lineage: Eukaryota; Metazoa; Chordata; Mammalia; Primates; Hominidae. The record is from RNAcentral.